RNAcentral lists this ribosomal RNA (449 nucleotides) under uncultured bacterium. Its description in RNAcentral is "partial 16S ribosomal RNA". It matches the Rfam family "Bacterial small subunit ribosomal RNA", at positions 28 to 523 of the family's 1533-position model. The record is from RNAcentral.
GAUGAACGCUAGCGGCAGGCCUAACACAUGCAAGUCGAACGAAGUCUUCGGACUUAGUGGCGCACGGGUGAGUAACACGUGGGAAUAUACCUUUCGGUGGGGAAUAACAUCGGGAAACUGAUGCUAAUACGGCAUACGCCCUUCGGGGGAAAGAUUUAUCGCCGAAAGAUUAGCCCGCGUCCGAUUAGGUAGUUGGUGAGGUAACGGCUCACCAAGCCUGCGAUCGGUAGCUGGUCUGAGAGGAUGAUCAGCCACACUGGGACUGAGACACGGCCCAGACUCCUACGGGAGGCAGCAGUGGGGAAUAUUGGACAAUGGGCGCAAGCCUGAUCCAGCCAUGCCGCGUGAGUGAUGAAGGCCUUAGGGUUGUAAAGCUCUUUCGACGGGGACGAUGAUGACGGUACCCGUAGAAGAAGUCACGGCUAACUACGUGCCAGCCGCCGCGGUAA